Molecule: ribosomal RNA, 406 nt
Filed under: uncultured bacterium
Lineage: Bacteria
Description: partial 16S ribosomal RNA
Rfam family: Bacterial small subunit ribosomal RNA
Source: RNAcentral
AUUGCACGCUGGCGGCAGGCUUAACACAUGCAAGUCGAACGAGUGGCGGACGGGUGAGUAAUGCUUGGGAAUCUAGCUUAUGGAGGGGGAUAACUACUGGAAACGGUGGCUCAUACCGCAUACUCUCGGAUAAACCCAUAUGGGAUUAGCUAGUAGGUGGGGUAAAGGCUCACCUAGGAGACGAUCUCUAGCUGGUCUGAGAGGAUGACCAGCCAACUGGGGAAUUAGACACGGCCCAGACUCCUACGGGAGGCAGCAGUGGGGAAUAGUGCGCAAUGGGGGAAACCCUGACGCAGCCAUGCCGCGUGAAUGAAGAAGGCCUUCGGGUUUUAAAGUUCUUUCGGUAGCGAGGCGUUAACUACAGAAGAAGCACCGGCUAACUCCGUGCCAGCAGCCGCGGUAAUAC